AUACGGAGGGUGCAAGCGUUACUGGGAAUCACUGGGCGUAAAGCGCGCGCAGGCGGUUUGAUAAGUUGGAUGUGAAAUCCUAUGGCUCAACCAUAGAACUGCAUCCAAAACUGUCAAACUAGAGUCUGGGAGAGGAAGAUGGUAUUAGUUGUGUAGGGGUAAAAUCCGUAGAGAUAACUAGGAAUACCAAAAGCGAAGGCGAUCUUCUGGAACAGUACUGACGCUGAGGCGCGAAAGCGUGGGGAGCAAACAGGAUUAGAAACCCCAGUAGUCC
This 274-nucleotide ribosomal RNA is filed under the name uncultured bacterium. RNAcentral's name for it is "partial 16S ribosomal RNA". It matches the Rfam family "Bacterial small subunit ribosomal RNA", at positions 523 to 796 of the family's 1533-position model. The record is from RNAcentral.